RNAcentral lists this ribosomal RNA (460 nucleotides) under uncultured bacterium. Its description in RNAcentral is "partial 16S ribosomal RNA". It matches the Rfam family "Bacterial small subunit ribosomal RNA", at positions 338 to 795 of the family's 1533-position model. The record is from RNAcentral.
CCUACGGGUGGCAGCAGUGAGGAAUAUUGGUCAAUGGACGAGAGUCUGAACCAGCCAAGUAGCGUGAAGGAUGACUGCCCUAUGGGUUGUAAACUUCUUUUAUAUGGGAAUAAAACGUUCCACGUGUGGCAUUUUGUAUGUACCAUAUGAAUAAGGAUCGGCUAACUCCGUGCCAGCAGCCGCGGUAAUACGGAGGAUCCGAGCGUUAUCCGGGUUUAUUGGGGUUAAAGGGAGCGUAGGUGGGUUGUUAAGUCAGUUGUGAAAGUUUGCGGCUCAACCGUAAAAUUGCAGUUGAAACUGGCAGUCUUGAGUACAGUAGAGGUAGGCGGAAUGCGUGGUGUAGCGGUGAAAUGCUUAGAUAUCACGAAGAACUCCGAUUGCGAAGGCAGCUGACUGGACUGCAACUGACACUGAGGCUCGAAAGUGUGGGUAUCAAACAGGAUUAGAUACCCGAGUAGUC